This 442-nucleotide ribosomal RNA is filed under the name uncultured bacterium. RNAcentral describes it as "partial 16S ribosomal RNA". It matches the Rfam family "Bacterial small subunit ribosomal RNA", at positions 338 to 795 of the family's 1533-position model. The record is from RNAcentral.
CCUACGGGAGACUGCAGUGAGGAAUAUUGGUCAAUGGGCGCGCGCCUGACCCAGCAAAGCCGCGUGAAGGAAGAAGGCUUUCGGGUUGUAAACUUCUUUUAAGAGGGAAGCGAAGAAGACGGUACCUCUUGAAUAAGACACGGCUAACUACGUGCCAGCAGCCGCGGUCAUACGUAGGUGGCAAGCGUUUACCGGAUUUACUGGGUGUAAAGGGCGUGUAGCCGGGCUGACAAGUCAGAUGUGAAAUCCCGUGGCUCAACCACGGAACUGCAUUUGAAACUGUCGGUCUUGAGUAUCGGAGAGGCAGGCGGAAUGCCUGGUGUAGCGGUGAAAUGCGUAGAUAUUAGGAGGAACACCAGUGGCGAAGGCGGCCUGCUGGACGACAACUGACGGUGAGGCGCGAAAGCGUGGGGAGCAAACAGGAUUAGAUACCCUGGUAGUC